RNAcentral lists this ribosomal RNA (87 nucleotides) under Euryarchaeota archaeon TMED141. RNAcentral describes it as "partial 16S ribosomal RNA". It matches the Rfam family "Archaeal small subunit ribosomal RNA", at positions 1398 to 1478 of the family's 1478-position model. Lineage: Archaea; Methanobacteriati; Methanobacteriota. The record is from RNAcentral.
CGUAUUCGAGCCUGCCUUCGACAAGGAGGGUUAAGUCGUAACAAGGUAUCUGUAGGGGAACCUGCAGAUGGAUCACCUCCUAAGAAA